Molecule: long non-coding RNA, 574 nt
Filed under: Durio zibethinus
Lineage: Eukaryota; Viridiplantae; Streptophyta; Magnoliopsida; Malvales; Malvaceae
Description: long non-coding RNA (DZIB_LNC000718)
Source: RNAcentral
UAAUAUUAAAAAUAAUUAUUACUCUUUCAAACAAACCCAAAACAAAAAAAUAUUGGAUUUAAACCGGUUGAUGGGAAACUGUUGAUGGUGGACCAGAGAUUGAUGAUUUUACAAGGCUGAAACGCAAGUAAAAAGUUAUAAAUUAUAAAGAUGGUCGACCGGAACAUGGUCCUCGGAGACCUUGGGCAAACCAACUGAACAAUCAAUACAACACAUUGCACCAGCGUGGGGCAUCUCAGUGUUUCCCAGAGCGUAGCACCCUUAAUGACUGCAAAUCCCACAAUUUUUUGUUGCUUUGGUCCCAUACCGCGUGGGACUUUAGGAGUUGGUCCCAACUCCAACCAAUCCUAUCAGACAGAAGCACUAGCAAGUUUAGACAAGUUUCAUCAAGGUUUUUGUUUUUUUUGUUCUUCUUUCUUACUACUUGUUAUUGUCUGACUUUAGAUGCAACCGUUGUGAUUACAAUAAACUAACCGUUCUGAUUGUCAUUUUUGUUUUGUUUUCAGUUUGAACCAAACAGAUUCUUUUAGUUUGCUUGCAUUCAACAACAUUUCGUGUAUUAAAAAUAUCACUU